UUAGAAUAAGACUAAAUUUAAGGACUUUUCUGAAGGUCUUUAACAACAUUCUCCUUUUCAAGGAAAGAGGGAAACAAGGAAGGAAAGAAGGAAACAAGCAUAUAUUAGUACCUACUACGUGGUCAGUCCUCAGCAAGCACUUUAUAAUGUUAUUUCAGUUGAUCCUUACAACAGCUCUGGAACUUGGAAGAACUAUUCCAGGAGGAAUUAGUCACCAUGUAAGCUGUCCUUUCAAUUUAUCAUUAUAUGUGCAGUAGAUAAAUUUCAUAUGACAUCAUAAUAUAUCACUUCUACUAGUGAACCUAUAUGUGAUUCAUCAGGGAAUUCCCUUUGAAGUUGCUACAUUGUCUACAUGUUCAUGAGCAUCAGGAGC
This 373-nucleotide long non-coding RNA is filed under the name Monodelphis domestica (gray short-tailed opossum). RNAcentral describes it as "lncRNA (ENSMODG00000035431.2)". The record is from RNAcentral. Lineage: Eukaryota; Metazoa; Chordata; Mammalia; Didelphimorphia; Didelphidae.